Peromyscus eremicus (cactus mouse) is the source of this 107-nucleotide small nuclear RNA. NCBI's taxonomy places the organism in Eukaryota, Metazoa, Chordata, Mammalia, Rodentia, Cricetidae. The record is from RefSeq and is a predicted model, not a curated record.
GUGCUCACUUAAGCUCCACAUAUACUAAAAUUGGAAUGAUGCAGAGAAGAUUAGCAUGGCCCCUGCUCAAGGAUGACACAAAAAUUCAUGAAGCAUUCCUUUUUUUC